CAGCCGCCGCGGGAAUACGAAGGGGGCUAGCGUUGCUCGGAAUGACUGGGCGUAAAGGGCGCGUAGGCGGAUUGUUUAGUUAGGCGUGAAAUUCCUGGGCCUAACCUGGGGACUGCGCUUAAUACAGGCAGUCUAGAGUGAGGAAGAGGGUUGUGGAAUUCCCAGUGUAGAGGUGAAAUUCGUAGAUAUUGGGAAGAACACCGGUGGCGAAGGCGGCAACCUGGUCCAUAACUGACGCUGAGGCGCGGAAGCGUGGGGAGCAAACAGGAUUAGAUACCCCCGUAGUCCCUGUCUCUUAUAC
Molecule: ribosomal RNA, 301 nt
Filed under: uncultured bacterium
Lineage: Bacteria
Description: partial 16S ribosomal RNA
Rfam family: Bacterial small subunit ribosomal RNA
Source: RNAcentral